AAUUACUCAAAAGAUUAGUCUUCUUAGGUGUAAACUAAGAAUUGUCUGUCCUUUGAAAAACGUCUACUGUGAUUGGUAGAUGAGAGAACUUAGGGGAGGUGACAUAGGAGAAAAUUCCCUAUAUAAGGACAGAACCAGUCUCUUGAUGAGAGGCAGAAGAAUCCCUCUAAGGAGAAGGAUGGCUGGCUGAACUGGUGUCUAUAUUCUUGCUUGGACAGAUCUUGUGGUUUCAUGCAGAUACAGGAUUGAACUGCUGGUCCAAAGAGGUAUAAGAAUACUCUACACUUUCUCUAACUUCACUGACCUUGGUCCCUUACUAGGAAGAGAUGGAGAAAGGAAGAAGGCUGACUCCCAGAUGCUUACUGCUUGUUUACUUCAAACUUACACUGGAAAUUCACAGUUACUUGAAUAAAACAAAAUGAGCCAGGUGCUACAGACAAGAUGGCAUUCCUUUGAUUAGUUUCCACAGAAUAAAGACUAUAAGACAGAAAUAAA
This 495-nucleotide long non-coding RNA is filed under the name Monodelphis domestica (gray short-tailed opossum). RNAcentral describes it as "lncRNA (ENSMODG00000031243.2)". The record is from RNAcentral. Lineage: Eukaryota; Metazoa; Chordata; Mammalia; Didelphimorphia; Didelphidae.